AGGACGAACGCUGGCGGCGCGCUUAACACAUGCAAGUCGAGCGAGAACCAUUCCUUCGGGAAUGGGGACAGCGGCGAACGGGUGAGUAGCACGUGGGUAAUCUGCCCUCGAUUCUGGGAUAGCCCGGGGAAACCCGGAUUAAUACCGGAUAGCCUCUCGAGCUUACGAGCUCUUGAGAAAAGGUAGCUUCGGCCUCCGAUCGAGGAUGAGCCCGCGGCGGAUUAGCUUGUUGGUGGGGUAAUGGCCUACCAAGGCAACGAUCCGUAGCUGGUCUGAGAGGACGAUCAGCCACACUGGGACUGAGACACGGCCCAGACUCCUACGGGAGGCAGCAGUGGGGAAUCUUGCGCAAUGGGCGAAAGCCUGACGCAGCGACGCCGCGUGGGGGAAGAAGGCCUUCGGGUUGUAAACCUCUUUCUAGCAGGACGAAGCCACUCGGUUAAUAGCCUAGAGGGUGACGGUACCUGCAGAAGAAGCCCCGGACUAACUACGUGCCAGCAGCCGCGUAA
This 509-nucleotide ribosomal RNA is filed under the name uncultured soil bacterium. RNAcentral describes it as "bacterial SSU rRNA". It matches the Rfam family "Bacterial small subunit ribosomal RNA", at positions 26 to 522 of the family's 1533-position model. The record is from RNAcentral.